GACGAACGCUGGCGGCGUGCUUAACACAUGCAAGUCGAACGGAAAGGCCCUGCUUUUGUGGGGUGCUCGAGUGGCGAACGGGUGGGUAACACGUGAGUAACCUGCCCUUGACUUGGGUAUCACCACAAGAAACGGGGUAUAAUCCCGUAUGGGCGCUCGUGCUACGGGGGGGGGGUGGGAGAGUCGGCGGUUGGGGGUGGACUCGCGGCUUAUCAGCUUGUUGGUGGGGUAGUGGCUUACCAAGGCUUUGACGGGUAGCCGGCCUGAGAGGGUGACCGGCCACAUUGGGACUGAGAUACGGCCCAGACUCCUACGGGAGGCAGCAGUGGGGAAUAUUGCACAAUGGGCGGAAGCCUGAUGCAGCAACGCCGCGUGCGGGAUGACGGCCUUCGGGUUGUAAACCGCUUUCGCCUGUGACGAAGCGUGAGUGACGGUAAUGGGUAAAGAAGCACCGGCUAACUACGUG
Molecule: ribosomal RNA, 466 nt
Filed under: uncultured bacterium
Lineage: Bacteria
Description: partial 16S ribosomal RNA
Rfam family: Bacterial small subunit ribosomal RNA
Source: RNAcentral